UACGUAGGGUGCGAGCGUUGUCCGGAAUUACUGGGCGUAAAGAGCUCGUAGGUGGUUUGUCGCGUUGUUCGUGAAAACCGGGGGGCUUAACCCCUCGGCGUGCGGGCGAUACGGGCAGACUGGAGUACUGCAGGGGGAGACUGGAAUUCCUGGUGUAGCGGUGGAAUGCGCAGAUAUCAGGAGGAACACCGGUGGCGAAGGCGGGUCUCUGGGCAGUAACUGACGCUGAGGAGCGAAAGCGUGGGGAGCGAACAGG
Molecule: ribosomal RNA, 256 nt
Filed under: uncultured bacterium
Lineage: Bacteria
Description: partial 16S ribosomal RNA
Rfam family: Bacterial small subunit ribosomal RNA
Source: RNAcentral